UUCUACCGCAAAAAAUCUACAGU
This 23-nucleotide small nuclear RNA is filed under the name Arabidopsis thaliana (thale cress). RNAcentral's name for it is "snRNA_19089". The record is from RNAcentral. Lineage: Eukaryota; Viridiplantae; Streptophyta; Magnoliopsida; Brassicales; Brassicaceae.